Molecule: ribosomal RNA, 497 nt
Filed under: uncultured bacterium
Lineage: Bacteria
Description: partial 16S ribosomal RNA
Rfam family: Bacterial small subunit ribosomal RNA
Source: RNAcentral
GAUGAACGCUGGCGGCGUGCCUAAUACAUGCAAGUCGAGCGGAUAGACGAAGCUCUUGCUCCUCUGACGCUAGCGGCGGGCGGGUAAGUAACACGUGGAUAACCUACCUAUAAGACUGAGAUAAGUUCGGGAAACCGGAGCUAAUAUCGGAUAAGAUGUUGAACCGCAUGGUUCAACAGUGAAAGAGCUUCUUGCUGUCCCUUAUACAUGGAACCUCGUCGCAUUAGCUAGUUGGUAAGGUAACGGCUUACCAAGGCGACGAUGCGUAGCUGACCUGAGAGGGUGAUCAGUCACACUGGAACUGAGACACGGUCCAGACUCCUACGGGAGGCAGCAGUGGGGAAUAUUGGGCAAUGGGCGAAAGCCUGAUCCAGCCACGCCGCGUGAGUGAAGAAGGUCUUCGGAUCGUAAAACACUGUUAGUUGGGAAGAACAGCAGUAUAUUAAACUCUGGCCGUUUUGACGUUACCAACACAAAAAGCACCGGCUAACUUCGUG